Molecule: ribosomal RNA, 497 nt
Filed under: uncultured bacterium
Lineage: Bacteria
Description: partial 16S ribosomal RNA
Rfam family: Bacterial small subunit ribosomal RNA
Source: RNAcentral
GAUGAACGCUGGCGGCGUGCCUAAUACAUGCAAGUCGAGCGAACAGACGAGGAGCUUGCUCCUCUGACGUUAGCGGCGGACGGGUGAGUAACACGUGGAUAACCUACCUAUAAGACUGGGAUAACUUCGGGAAACCGGAGCUAAUACCGGAUAAUAUAUUGAACCGCAUGGUUCAAUAGUGAAAGACGGUUUUGCUUUCACUUAUAGAUGGAUCCGCGCCGCAUUAGCUAGUUGGUAAGGUAACGGCUUACCAAGGCAACGAUGCGUAGCCGACCUGAGAGGGUGAUCGGCCACACUGGAAGUGAGACACGGUCCAGACUCCUACGGGAGGCAGCAGUAGGGAAUCUUCCGCAAUGAGCGAAAGCCUGACGGAGCAACGCCGCGUGAGUGAUGAAGGUCUUCGGAUCGUAAAACUCUGUUAUUAGGGAAGAACAAAUGUGUAAGUAACUAUGCACGUCUUGACGGUACCUAAUCAGAAAGCCACGGCUAACUACGUG